ACUCGAGUGGCGAACGGGUGAGUAACACGUGGGUGAUCUGCCCUGCACUUCGGGAUAAGCCUGGGAAACUGGGUCUAAUACCGGAUAGGACCACAUUUUGGAUGGUGUGGUGGAAAGUUUUUCGGUGUGGGAUGAGCUCGCGGCCUAUCAGCUUGUUGAUGGGGUAAUGGCCUACCAAGGCGUCGACGGGUAGCCGGCCUGAGAGGGUGUACGGCCACAUUGGGACUGAGAUACGGCCCAG
This 241-nucleotide ribosomal RNA is filed under the name uncultured Actinomycetales bacterium. Its description in RNAcentral is "partial 16S ribosomal RNA". It matches the Rfam family "Bacterial small subunit ribosomal RNA", at positions 89 to 334 of the family's 1533-position model. The record is from RNAcentral. Lineage: Bacteria; Bacillati; Actinomycetota; Actinomycetes; Actinomycetales.